RNAcentral lists this ribosomal RNA (210 nucleotides) under uncultured bacterium. RNAcentral describes it as "partial 16S ribosomal RNA". It matches the Rfam family "Bacterial small subunit ribosomal RNA", at positions 524 to 730 of the family's 1533-position model. The record is from RNAcentral.
UACGUAGGGUGCAAGCGUUGUCCGGAAUUAUUGGGCGUAAAGAGCUCGUAGGCGGUUUUGUCGCGUCUGCUGUGAAAAACGCGAGGCUCAACCUCGCGCCUGCAGUGGGUACGGGCAGACUAGAGUGCGGUAGGGGGAGAUUGGAAUUCCUGGUGUAGCGGUGGAAUGCGCAGAUAUCAGGAGGAACACCGAUGGCGAAGGCAGAUCUCU